RNAcentral lists this ribosomal RNA (253 nucleotides) under uncultured bacterium. RNAcentral describes it as "partial 16S ribosomal RNA". It matches the Rfam family "Bacterial small subunit ribosomal RNA", at positions 524 to 776 of the family's 1533-position model. The record is from RNAcentral.
UACAGAGGGGGCAAGCGUUGUUCGGAAUUACUGGGCGUAAAGGGCGCGUAGGCGGCCUGCUAAGUCGAACGUGAAAUCCCCGGGCUCAACCCGGGAACUGCGUCCGAUACUGGCAGGCUUGAAUCCGGGAGAGGGAUGUGGAAUUCCAGGUGUAGCGGUGAAAUGCGUAGAUAUCUGGAGGAACACCCGAGGCGAAGGCGGCUCUCUGGGUCGGACCUGACGCUGAGGCGCGAAAGCGUGGGGAGCGAACGGG